RNAcentral lists this transfer RNA (72 nucleotides) under Stegodyphus mimosarum. It matches the Rfam family "tRNA". Rfam says of the family: Transfer RNA (tRNA) molecules are approximately 80 nucleotides in length. Their secondary structure includes four short double-helical elements and three loops (D, anti-codon, and T loops). The record is from Rfam by way of RNAcentral. Lineage: Eukaryota; Metazoa; Arthropoda; Arachnida; Araneae; Eresidae.
GUCUUCGUAGUGUAACUGUCAGCACAUUCUGCUCGUAUUCGAGAGGUCCAGGUUCGAGUCCUGGCGAGAGCA